This 497-nucleotide ribosomal RNA is filed under the name uncultured bacterium. RNAcentral's name for it is "partial 16S ribosomal RNA". It matches the Rfam family "Bacterial small subunit ribosomal RNA", at positions 28 to 507 of the family's 1533-position model. The record is from RNAcentral.
GAUGAACGCUGGCGGCGUGCCUAAUACAUGCAAGUCGAGCGAACAGACGAGGAGCUUGCUCCUCUGACGUUAGCGGCGGACGGGUGAGUAACACGUGGAUAACCUACCUAUAAGACUGGGAUAACUUCGGGAAACCGGAGCUAAUACCGGAUAAUAUAUUGAACCGCAUGGGUCAAUAGUGAAAGACGGUUUUGCUGUCACUUAUAGAUGGAUCCGCGCCGCAUUAGCUAGUUGGUAAGGUAACGGCUUACCAAGGCAACGAUGCGUAGCCGACCUGAGAGGGUGAGCGGCCACACUGGAACUGAGACACGGUCCAGGCUCCUACGGGAGGCAGCAGUAGGGAAUCUUCCGCAAUGGGCGAAAGCCUGACGGAGCAACGCCGCGUGAGUGAUGAAGGUCUUCGGAUCGUAAAACUCUGUUAUUAGGGAAGAACAAAUGUGUAAGUAACUAUGCACGUCUUGACGGUACCUAAUCAGAAAGCCACGGCUAACUACGUG